This 925-nucleotide ribosomal RNA is filed under the name Dothideomycetes sp. RNAcentral describes it as "eukaryotic LSU rRNA". The stretch from base 405 to 925 matches the Rfam family "Eukaryotic large subunit ribosomal RNA", at positions 1 to 534 of the family's 3401-position model. The record is from RNAcentral. Lineage: Eukaryota; Fungi; Ascomycota; Dothideomycetes.
CGAUACUGUUGCCUCGGGGGCGACCCGGCCUUCGGGCGUCGGGGCCCCCGGUGGACCCGUAACUCUGCAUCUUUGCGUCUGAGUAAACAUUGAAUUAUUUAAAACUUUCAACAACGGAUCUCUUGGUUCUGGCAUCGAUGAAGAACGCAGCGAAAUGCGAUAAGUAAUGUGAAUUGCAGAAUUCAGUGAAUCAUCGAAUCUUUGAACGCACAUUGCGCCCCCUGGCAUUCCGGGGGGCAUGCCUGUUCGAGCGUCAUUACACCACUCAAGCCUCGCUUGGUAUUGGGCACCGCGGGCGACCGCGCGCCCCAAAUUCACCGGCUGAGCCGUCCGUCUCUAAGCGUUGUGGCAACUAUUCGCUUGCGAGGCCCGGGCGACCCGGCCGUUAAACCCCCAUCAAAGGUUGACCUCGGAUCAGGUAGGGAUACCCGCUGAACUUAAGCAUAUCAAUAAGCGGAGGAAAAGAAACCAACAGGGAUUGCCCUAGUAACGGCGAGUGAAGCGGCAACAGCUCAAAUUUGAAAUCUGGCGCAAGCCCGAGUUGUAAUUUGUAGAGGAUGCUUCGAGGCAGCGGCCGGUCUAAGUUCCUUGGAACAGGACGUCAUAGAGGGUGAGAAUCCCGUCUGCGACCGGCUGGCACCUCACACGUAGCUCCUUCGACGAGUCGAGUUGUUUGGGAAUGCAGCUCUAAAUGGGAGGUAAAUUUCUUCUAAAGCUAAAUACCGGCCAGAGACCGAUAGCGCACAAGUAGAGUGAUCGAAAGAUGAAAAGCACUUUGGAAAGAGAGUUAAAAAGCACGUGAAAUUGUUGAAAGGGAAGGGCAAGCAACCAGACUUGUCGGCGGUGUUCCGCCGGUCUUCUGACCGGUUCACUCGCCGCCGGCAGGCCAGCAUCGUCUGCGAGCGCCGGAUAAAGGUGCGAGGAA